This 61-nucleotide microRNA precursor is filed under the name Pristionchus pacificus. RNAcentral's name for it is "mir-8364 microRNA precursor family". It matches the Rfam family "mir-8364 microRNA precursor family". The record is from Rfam by way of RNAcentral. Lineage: Eukaryota; Metazoa; Nematoda; Chromadorea; Rhabditida; Neodiplogasteridae.
UCUUCAUUCCGCUUGCUCUCUCUCCAAUCAGAGAGGCGAGAGAGUGUGCGAAGUGAAGAGA